This 253-nucleotide ribosomal RNA is filed under the name uncultured bacterium. RNAcentral describes it as "partial 16S ribosomal RNA". It matches the Rfam family "Bacterial small subunit ribosomal RNA", at positions 524 to 776 of the family's 1533-position model. The record is from RNAcentral.
UACGGGGGGGGCAAGCGUUGUUCGGAAUUACUGGGCGUAAAGGGCUCGUAGGCGGCCAAUUAAGUCAGACGUGAAAUCCCUCGGCUUAACCGGGGAACUGCGUCUGAUACUGGAUGGCUUGAAUCCGGGAGAGGGAUGCGGAAUUCCAGGUGUAGCGGUGAAAUGCGUAGAUAUCUGGAGGAACACCGGUGGCGAAGGCGGCCCCCUGGUUGGAUACUGACGCUGAGACGCGAAAGCGUGGGGAGCAAACAGG